UUCGGCUGCAGGUCGGACCGGUGCACACGACCACGGUCGAUCCCUCCUCCAGGGCAAACAACAGCGGGCUCCUGCUACCGGUACCGGUGCUGCUGCUGCU
This 100-nucleotide non-coding RNA is filed under the name Pseudo-nitzschia pungens. Lineage: Eukaryota; Bacillariophyta; Bacillariophyceae; Bacillariales; Bacillariaceae. The record is from RNAcentral.